This 253-nucleotide ribosomal RNA is filed under the name uncultured bacterium. RNAcentral's name for it is "partial 16S ribosomal RNA". It matches the Rfam family "Bacterial small subunit ribosomal RNA", at positions 524 to 776 of the family's 1533-position model. The record is from RNAcentral.
UACGAGUGCCCCGAGCGUUAUCCGGAAUCAUUGGGCGUAAAGGGCGUGUAGGCGGUCCGCUAAGUCUGAUGUGAAAGCCCGGGGCUCACCCCCGGAAGUGCAUUGGAAACUGGCGGACUCGAGUCCCGGAGAGGAGAGUGGAAUUCCUGGUGUAGCGGUGAAAUGCGUAGAUAUCAGGAGGAACACCGGUGGCGAAGGCGGCUCUCUGGACGGUGACUGACGCUGAGACGCGAAAGCGUGGGGAGCGAACGGG